GGAAGGGCAUCGCCUCCGGUGGGGCGGCCGGGCUUCAAACCCGGUUGGGGGUGUCAGACACUCCCGGGUGGGUUCGACUCCCAUGCCUUUCCGCCA
Molecule: transfer RNA, 96 nt
Filed under: Thiocapsa sp. KS1
Lineage: Bacteria; Pseudomonadati; Pseudomonadota; Gammaproteobacteria; Chromatiales; Chromatiaceae
Description: tRNA-Sec
Rfam family: Selenocysteine transfer RNA
Source: RNAcentral